Molecule: long non-coding RNA, 1565 nt
Filed under: Triticum aestivum (bread wheat)
Lineage: Eukaryota; Viridiplantae; Streptophyta; Magnoliopsida; Poales; Poaceae
Description: long non-coding RNA (TAES_LNC005544)
Source: RNAcentral
GUCAUUCAAGUUGAGCGCCGAGACACUCGAGGUGAUGAGGUAGAGUUCAGUGCUUCUGCUGGUGCAUACGUAGGUUUUGGUACAAUAGCUAUUUAGCUAAUUAUUUGUUCUAUCUCAUAAGUGGAAUGAUCAAUUGACUUUGACUGUAAAUUAAUAAACAGACACAACGGACUAGCUGAGUACCUACGUAGCUAAUCAUUGAUCUUGUCUUGAGUGAAAGGGUGUCGUUUGUUAAUUCAGAGACUGGCUAAAAGGUAACCCAUACGGCUUUAUUUGUUUAUUUCCCUUCUGAACCCUUAUUUACUUGGCUUAUGUUGAUGAUAUUUCUAAUCUUUGCAGGUAUACUCAACUGCAUCUUAGUUUUGUGCUCCUGCAUAUUGUUAUUGUGUUUAUUCCUAUCAGCUAAUAUAAAUAUCAUAACUCUCAAAGUUUUCAUUAUUAGUUUUUUUACAGAUUCUUGAAGCUUUGCGUGCUGGAUUCUCCAAUGUAAUUGAAGUAGCUCAACAUCAUGUAGUUACAUUGUCAUGGUAGUAAUCUUUGCCUGUUGUUGACUUAAGAGAGCUAGCUGUUUGCUAGAAUAUAUUAAACUGCUAAUUUUACACCUAUUUAUGUACAUGUCAUCAUAGUUAGAAUUUCAGAAUCAGUUUUGAUUUAUGAAAAUGCUAGCUUUUUCAUAGUAUAGAAAUAGUUUUCACGAAUUAUAAUGGCAAAUUAUUUUUCUUGUUUUCACAAGUAAUAAUGCCAAAUGCUUUUCUUGUGGUAUUCAGAAGUUAAGGCACUGCGUUUCAGAUUGACGACGGUUUAUACAUGGAUGGGGUUGGCAGUUUCGAGCCACUUAAUUUACGGGUGGCGAUUGCUGUCACCGUUGUUUAAUACCAAAUAUAUUAUCCGUCUAGCUAGAUUUUUAUUUGUGUUUGUGUCACAGGCUGCUAAGAAUGUUCUAGCUGCUGUGGCAGCGACAUCGUCUGUUCCUGCUUUCAGGGCACCCUACUGCAAAUACACCUUCUGGAUCAGGUAUGUAUCAUAUGGCCGUUUGUCUCUCCAGCACGCACAUGAACUACAACCUUAAUCGUGCUCAGUAACAUAUUUUGUGAUUAGAGUCCACCCGUCUAGGCGCCGCCAUCAUCCUCGCACCGUCGCGCGCUGCGCCGGAGACACGGACGAGGUCGAGCAGUAUGUGCCUUCGUCCUCUUCCCUCGGAGUGUGGGACCGAGGAUAAGGACGAGGAGAAGAAAUAUGUGGCAUCUUCAUCGUUGUCUCUUGGCGCGCGGUGCUGGAGAGACAGAAAAGGAGGUCGAGAGCUGGAAGUGCGGCAUAUUGUAGUGUUUUGUUUGAUGGGGAAAUAUCUUUGUAUGCCAGCAUAUUUUGUAGUGGUUUGUUUGAUGGGAACUACCUUUGUAUGCCUGCAUAUUUUGCUUAGGUAUUGAUGAUUCCAUGCUAAAUUUGUACAAGAUUAAAAAAAAAAUUGUGAGUGCAACAACUAUUUGUUAGUUGCACCAAAUUAAAUUCAUACAACUGUGUUACACAGAUCUGCAAAUGCAAAUAAAAAUGUGUGUGUACAUUAG